AUUGUGCCACUUAAAAAAGGUCCCGUCAUCCACCAUACAUCAGUUCGUCAGUCCUAUUUGUUGAAAAGAAAUGCGGUUUGCUGCUAGCAAGUAUAGAAAAUCAAUUUGCACCCGGCAAGUCUAAUUAAUUAACCAAAAUUAAUCGGACACCGUCAAUUAACAAUCCGUGUUCGUCCGAUUCCAGACGCAUCUGGGUCUGAGAUCCAAUUCAAGAGGAAUAUUUGAAUGUUCGAGACAAGUCACGAGGGGGGCUAGAAAGGAACCGGUUUAUGUCCACGACCCGGAAGUGACUGUUUUACGUCGACUUGAAACUUUGUACGCAGACACGCGGAGGAUUAUUCUUCAUUUGGUCGUGGGUAUGCUGGAGCCUAUCCCAGCUGACUUCGGGAAAGAUGCAGAGUACACCCUGGACUGGUUGCCAGCCAAUCGCAGGACAAACAACCAACAAACUCUCCCAAUAAUAACAUAUUGAACACAAUUCCCACCUUGAACUCACCCAAAACCAGCCCAGUGCCCAAUCUCAUUUUGCAAAAAACACCACUGGGUAAAAGAAAAAAACAACCUUGAAUUGUAGUUAGAUGGCUAAUUUAGCCAAUAACGAUGCAGAGGAAGACAGCUGAGACCUUUUAUGGAAGCCGUAAUAGAACUACGUAAUUGACUGGUGCUCUGUAUCAUCAAGCCGGGCUUACGCCGCUGACUGACAUGUUUUAUCAGCUUCCCAUUGUGUUGGCGUUCUUCCCACUGAGCCAAAGAUGGGAUCCGCUGAGCAAUUCUAUUGUCUUCCACUCCGGUACCGUCUUACGAUAUCAGCAUGCACAGAGUUAUCGGGGGCGGGGGGUCACCACGUAUACAUCCAUAAUGCAAAUUUGGAGUAUCUUCCACUCACUGAAUAGCUAUGCUAUAUACCAACAUGCUAACCACUUGCGGCGACAUCUUGAAUAUAUACUGUAGGUAUAAAUUUGUGGUGAGUUUGGAUUAUGCUUUGUAAAUAUCCAUACCAAUAGCAGUACCGAUAUCAAAUCAAAUUUUCAGGACUCUUCAGUUUAAAACCUCCGUUUUUGUACAAACUGGAUUUUGUAGGAUUUGGUUUCCAAUUAAAAUUAUGGCCACGGUUUUGUCUCGGUUAUCGUAUGGCCAAACAAACUUGUCAAGUGCCCUAACAAUUCAGUCUCUAUGAAGAAUUGGACACUAUAGACAGAUUGCAGCCUUAUUAUGUGUGUGUAUGGUUUAUUCGUUUAUCAAACGCACACGGAAUGAUGAACAACUCUGUAUCUGUCUCCUUCCCUGGUGUGCUCGUUUCAUUUAGGACGGUUAAUUAUGGCCACGAUUUUGUCACGGUUGUAGGAUCCAAAAUUUCCAAUUAAAAUUAUGGCCACGGUUUUGUCUCGGUUAUCGUAUGGCCAAAAAGUGCGCCAAACAAACUAGUCAAGUGCCCUAACAGUUCAGUCUCUAUGAAGAAUUGGACACUAUAGACAGAUUACAGCCUUAUUAUGUGUAUGCAUGGUUUAUUCGUUUAGGACGGAUAAUUAUGGCCACGGUUUUGUCUCGGUUAUCGUAGGGCCAAAAAGUGCACCAAACAAACUAGUCAAGUGCCCUAACAAUUCAGUCUCUAUGAAGAAUUGGACACUAUAGACAGAUUAGAGCCUUAUUAUGUGUAUGUACGGUUUAUUUGUUUAUCGAACGCACACGGAAUGAUGAACAACUCUGUAUCUGUCUCCUUCCCUGGUGUGCUCGUUUCAUUUAGGACGGAUAAUUAUGGCCACGAUUUUGUCUCGGUUAUCGUAUGGUCAAGUGUCCUAACAAUUCAGUUUCUAUGAAGAAGUGGACACUAUAGACAGAUUACAUUCUUAUUAUGUGUGUGUAUAGUUUAUUCGUUUAUCAAACGCACACAGAAUGAUGAACAACUCUGUAUCUGUCUCCUUUCCUGGUGUG
Doryrhamphus excisus (bluestripe pipefish) is the source of this 1932-nucleotide non-coding RNA. NCBI's taxonomy places the organism in Eukaryota, Metazoa, Chordata, Actinopteri, Syngnathiformes, Syngnathidae. The record is from RefSeq and is a predicted model, not a curated record.